UGGGGAAUAUUGGACAAUGGGCGCAAGCCUGAUCCAGCCAUGCCGCGUGAGUGACGAAGGCCUUAGGGUUGUAAAGCUCUUUUUGGCGGGGAAGAUAAUGACGGUACCCGGAGAAGAAGCUCCGGCUAACUUCGUGCCAGCAGCCGCGGUAAUACGAAGGGAGCUAGCGUUGUUCGGAAUUACUGGGCGUAAAGCGCACGUAGGCGGGCUAUUAAGUCAGGGGUGAAAUCCCGAGGCUCAACCUCGGAACUGCCUUUGAUACUGAUAGUCUUGAGAUCGGGAGAGGUGAGUGGAAUUCCUAGUGUAGAGGUGAAAUUCGUAGAUAUUAGGAAGAACACCAGUGGCGAAGGCGGCUCACUGGCCCGAUACUGACGCUGAGGUGCGAAAGCGUGGGGAGCAAACAGGAUUAGAUACCCAAGUAGUCCCUG
RNAcentral lists this ribosomal RNA (428 nucleotides) under uncultured bacterium. RNAcentral describes it as "bacterial SSU rRNA". It matches the Rfam family "Bacterial small subunit ribosomal RNA", at positions 355 to 799 of the family's 1533-position model. The record is from RNAcentral.